CUGAGUUUAUAGAGUUUGUUUCUUACUGUAAUUAAAUUCCUGAGUUUGUUUCUUUUUAUUUUAUGGAGUUAAGGAUCAUAUCAUAUCAUUAUCGUUAUUUUACUGCUACACAUAUUAAAUGUUUGUCCGUACCACAAAACUAUGUGAAAUAUAAUCAUGCUAUGUCAAUUGCAGUUUCUGACAAAGAAUGGAAUUUACGACUUUUGGAACUGGUUUGACGAUCGGACGUGGUAUCCCCUUGGACGAGUGAUUGGUGGACCUGUUUAGUGUUUACCUUGGACUGACGUUGACUGCUGGCACCUUGUGGUGGACACUCAAUUGCUUGAAUAUUCAUCUUUCUGUGGAAACUUCUUGUGUCUUUACUGCUCCUACAUUCUCCGCUCUUGCUUCUUGGGCAACAUACCUUCUGACAAAGG
Long non-coding RNA from Capsicum annuum, 416 nucleotides. RefSeq lists it as uncharacterized. The record is from RefSeq and is a predicted model, not a curated record. Lineage: Eukaryota; Viridiplantae; Streptophyta; Magnoliopsida; Solanales; Solanaceae. The transcript is spliced from 3 exons.